UUCUUGCUAAAACAAGAUUUCAAGGAAUUUCUUUUCUUGGUGAAUAAGAAUUCAUGGAAUUCAGCUAGAAAUAAGUAAUACGAUUCUUGCAUGAACAAAAUUCAAAAUGGAAAUUGGAAACAUAGAAUGGAUCGUCCUACUUUGCAUCAAUUACAGCUCCUUAUGACAAUAAAAACAAAGACAAGUGAACAUAAAAAAGAAAAAGGAGAUUGAUGAACCUUUCUUGUCCAAUUACCACCAAUUCAAGAUGCCGGAAACCACCACCACCACAAAUUCCGACCAUCAAAACAAACCCAAUUCCAGCAAAAUUAUUCAGAGCGAAUACACGAAGUUUACCGUUAAACUAACACCAGAUCAGAAUUAGAAGUAGAGGCCCUCAUCUUAUAUAAGAAAGAAAGGAAUUCCUAAAACCCCAUCUCUUGAAUUCACCACCGAGCCAAAGCUAACACAACGGAAACCAACACCACCCCAAAUUCCGGCCACCGAAAAACCAAAUUCCGGCCAACACCACUGGGCAUAACAAUCGGGUAAAUAUUUCCUGGUGGUCCAGGAAAGUAAUUGUAAGAUGGAGGAGUAGGAGGAGGAGGACAAUAGAUUUUGGAUGGACUUUUAGGAGGAGGAGGAGGAGGAGGCAUAUUGCAAGGGUUAUUACAUGAAGUGCAGGCGGUGCAAUCCGUUGCAUCGAGUUUUUUAGGAGACGACGAAGUGGCCGGAAUUAGAAUGAAGAAUACGAAGAUUAAGGGAAGGAGGUUUUCCCGGCUAGUUGAGGUCAUUUUCCGGUAGUAUUUGGCCGGAACACUGCAAUUGGGGCAGAGGGGGAGCGCUUGAGUGUCUUGGAGCGAAAUGGUGGCUGGCGCCAUUUAAGGUGGGGCAUUUUGUGAAGGCGAGUUGUAUAGGCCUGGGAUUUCUAUUAAUACCGGAUAGGUCCAUUCUCUUCUCUUGUAUGCUCA
RNAcentral lists this long non-coding RNA (950 nucleotides) under Amborella trichopoda. RNAcentral describes it as "long non-coding RNA (ATRI_LNC002447)". Lineage: Eukaryota; Viridiplantae; Streptophyta; Magnoliopsida; Amborellales; Amborellaceae. The record is from RNAcentral.